Molecule: ribosomal RNA, 501 nt
Filed under: uncultured bacterium
Lineage: Bacteria
Description: partial 16S ribosomal RNA
Rfam family: Bacterial small subunit ribosomal RNA
Source: RNAcentral
AUUGAACGCUGGCGGCAUGCCUUACACAUGCAAGUCGAACGGCAGCACGGGUGCUUGCACCUGGUGGCGAGUGGCGAACGGGUGAGUAAUACAUCGGAACGUACCUUAUCGUGGGGGAUAACGCAGCGAAAGCUGUGCUAAUACCGCAUACGCCCUGAGGGGGAAAGCGGGGGACAGCAAGCCGUCGGCGGAUUAGAUGGGCCGAUGCCUGAUCAGCUAGUUGGUGGGGUAAAAGCCCACCAAGGCGACGAUCAGUAGCUGGUCUGAGAGGACGAUCAGCCACACUGGGACUGAGACACGGCCCAGACUCCUACGGGAGGCAGCAGUGGGGAAUUUUGGACAAUGGGGGCAACCCUGAUCCAGCAAUGCCGCGUGAGUGAAGAAGGCCUUCGGGUUGUAAAGCUCUUUUGUCAGGGAAGAAACACCGGCUCUAACACAGUCCGGGAAUGACGGUACCUGAAGAAUAAGCACCGGCUAACUACGUGCCAGCAGCCGCCGUAA